This 483-nucleotide ribosomal RNA is filed under the name uncultured bacterium. RNAcentral describes it as "partial 16S ribosomal RNA". It matches the Rfam family "Bacterial small subunit ribosomal RNA", at positions 28 to 507 of the family's 1533-position model. The record is from RNAcentral.
GACGAACGCUGGCGGCGUGCUUAACACAUGCAAGUCGAACGCUGAAGCUCAGCUUUUGUUGGGUGGAUGAGUGGCGAACGGGUGAGUAACACGUGAGUAACCUGCCUCCUUCUUUGGGAUAACGCCCGGAAACGGGUGCUAAUACUGGAUAUUCACUGGUCUUCGCAUGGGGGUUGGUGGAAAGGGUUUUUCUGGUGGGGGAUGGGCUAGCGGCCUAUCAGCUUGUUGGUGGGGUGAUGGCCUACCAAGGCGUUGACGGGUAGCCGGCCUGAGAGGGUGACCGGUAACAUUGGGACUGAGAUACGGCCCAGACGCCUACGGGAGGGAGCAGUGGGGAAUAUUGCACAAUGGGCGAAAGACUGAUGCAGCGACGCUGCGUGAGGGAUGGAGACCUUCGAAUUGUGAACCUCUUUCGCUCAUGGUCAAGCCGCAACAAUGGUUGUGGUGAGGGUAGUGGGUAAAGAAGCGCCGGCUAACUACGUG